UGAGUACGAGAUGCUACGGCAUCGAAGCAGUCUAUGUCAUACUUCCAAGAAAAGCUUGCACUGUCAGAAACAGAUAAUGCCUGUACCAUAACCGACACAGGUGGGUAGGUAGAGUAUACUAAGGGGCGCGAGAUAACUCUCUCUAAGGAACUCGGCAAAAUGACUCCGUAACUUCGGGAGAAGGAGUGCCUUAUUUUUAAGGUUGCAAUAACAAGAUCCAAGCAACUGUUUACCAAAAACACAGGUCUCCGCUAAGUCGUAAGACGAUGUAUGGGGGCUGACGCCUGCCCAGUGCCAGAAGGUUAAAGAAGUCGGUUAGCAUUCGCGAAGCUGGUAACUGAAGCCCUGGUGAACGGCGGCCGUAACGAUAACGGUCCUAAGGUAGCGAAAUUCCUUGUCGGGUAAGUUCCGACCCGCACGAAAGGCGUAAUGAUUUGGAUACUGUCUCGGAGAGGGGCUCGGUGAAAUAGACUUGUCUGUGAAGAUGCGGACUACCUGCACCUGGACAGAAAGACCCUAUGAAGCUUUACUGUAACUUGAAAUUGAAAUUGGACUUUAUUUGCGCAGUAUAGGUGGGAGGCGUUGAAAAUAUUCUUGCGGGAAUAUUGGAGCCAUCAGUGAGAUACCACUCUUGUAAUGUUAGAUUUCUAACUUUAUAUCAUUAUCUGGUUAAAGAACAGUUUCAGGCGGGCAGUUUGACUGGGGCGGUCGCCUCCCAAAUGGUAACGGAGGCGCACAAAGGUUUCCUCUGAACGGGUAGAAAUCGUAUCUAGAGUGUAAAGGCAUAAGGAAGCUUGACUGUGAGACCUACAAGUCGAGCAGGGACGAAAGUCGGUCUUAGUGAUCUGACGGUGCUGAGUGGAAAGGCCGUCACUCAACGGAUAAAAGUUACUCUAGGGAUAACAGGCUGAUCUCCCCCAAGAGUUCACAUCGACGGGGAGGUUUGGCACCUCGAUGUCGGCUCAUCGCAUCCUGGGGCGGUAGUACGUCCCAAGGGUUGGGCUGUUCGCCCAUGAAAGCGGUACGCGAGCUGGGUUCAGAACUUCGUGAGACAGUUCGGUCCAUAUCCGGUGUAGGCGUUAGAAUAUUGAGAGGAGCCUUCUUUAGUACGAGAGGACCGAGAAGGACAUACCUCUGGUGUACCAGUUAUCGUGCCAACGGUAACCGCUGGGUAGCUAUGUAUGGAGUGGAUAACCGCUGAAAGCAUCUAAGUGGGAAGCCCACCUCAAGAUAAGUAUUCUC
This 1242-nucleotide ribosomal RNA is filed under the name metagenome. RNAcentral describes it as "bacterial LSU rRNA". It matches the Rfam family "Bacterial large subunit ribosomal RNA", at positions 1564 to 2815 of the family's 2925-position model. The record is from RNAcentral.